RNAcentral lists this ribosomal RNA (309 nucleotides) under uncultured bacterium. RNAcentral describes it as "partial 16S ribosomal RNA". It matches the Rfam family "Bacterial small subunit ribosomal RNA", at positions 504 to 808 of the family's 1533-position model. The record is from RNAcentral.
AGAGACAGCAGUAGCCGCGGUAAUACGAAGGGUGCAAGCGUUAAUCGGAAUUACUGGGCGUAAAGCGUGCGUAGGCGGUGAGUUAAGUCUGUUGUGAAAUCCCCGGGCUCAACCUGGGAAUUGCAGUGGAUACUGGGUCACUAGAGUGUGUAGAGGAUAGUGGAAUUUCCGGUGUAGCAGUGAAAUGCGUAGAGAUCGGAAGGAACAUCUGUGGCGAAGGCGACUAUCUGGGCCAACACUGACACUGAGGCACGAAAGCGUGGGGAGCAAACAGGAUUAGAUACCCGCGUAGUCCCUGUCUCUUAUACA